RNAcentral lists this ribosomal RNA (468 nucleotides) under uncultured bacterium. RNAcentral's name for it is "partial 16S ribosomal RNA". It matches the Rfam family "Bacterial small subunit ribosomal RNA", at positions 28 to 507 of the family's 1533-position model. The record is from RNAcentral.
GACGAACGCUGGCGGCGUGCUUAACACAUGCAAGUCGAACGGAAAGGCCCUGCUAUUGUGGGGUGCCCGAGUGGCGAACGGGUGAGUAACACGUGAGUAACCUGCCCUUGACUUUGGGAUAACUUCAGGAAACUGGGGCUAAUACCGGAUAGGAGCUCCUGCUGCAUGGUGGGCGUUGGAACGUUUCGGCGGUUGGGGAUGGACUCGCGGCUUAUCAGCUUGUUGGUGGGGUAGUGGCUUACCAAGGCUUUGACGGGUAGCCGGCCUGAGCGGGUGACCGGCCACAUUAGGACUGAGAUAGGGCCCAGACGCCUACGGGAGGCAGGAGUGGGAAAUAUUGCGCAGUGGGCGGAAGCCUGAUGCAGAGACGCCGCGUGCGGGAUGACGGCCUUCGGGUUGUAAACCGCUUUCGCCUGUGACGAAGCGUGAGUGACGGUAAUGGAUAAAGAAGCACCGGCUAACUACGUG